GUCUGGGGAGUGGGGGAGGGAAACGGAACUGGAGAGGCGCGGGAGCCAGGUGUGCGGGCUGGGACUGCACGCCUGCCUGCGGGCGGUGAGUGCCGGGAAGGGUGUGUGCUCGUGCAGGCAGGUGGCCUGAGCAGGAUGCUGUCAGAGUGACGCUGGAGGCAGAGGGACCAUCGGGGUGACUGCGACUGCCCAGGAGAGGAGGCCCCGAGCAGGGGUUUCCCAGCCUCCGCACCGUGGACCUUUGGGCCUGGGUCACUGUUGGUGCCAGGCUGUUCUGUCCGUCGUGCGAUGUUUAUUUUGGCAGCGCCCCCAGCCUCGGCCCACUGGAAGCCAGUAGCAGCCCUCAGCUGUGCCCAGCGGAACCGUCUUCAGACGCUGUGAAAUGGCACCUGGAGGGCAACUCGCCCCAGCUGGGAGGGAACCUCAGGCCUCCGUUCUGGCUGAGACUGCGGACAGAGUCCCAGGUCAGCAGGGCUGUGCGCCAGCUGUUUGGCUGCUCACGGCAGCAAAAAGCCUGCGGAGGUUCCAGGUGCCACCGUUCCUGACGGCAGCAGUGCCGAGAGCUCCGACAGUAGGGAGGGAACCAGGCCGGGCCGGACUGCAGGGACGGGCUUCGAUCACAUGACACAGGCUCCGCGCUCCGCCUGCUUCCCUGCCGUCUCCACCAGCGUCACACUUCCGCCAGCACCUCCUCUGUGUUGUCCUAACAGUCUUUGCUUUUUCACAGAGAGUCGCUGAACGAUGCCCCUUUUGGAGAAGAGCCCCCCAGUGCCCUCAGCAAGGCACUGUCUGUGGGUGCUCAGGGCCCACGGCCACGCCCAUCGCUGCAACUCCCCAGCUGUUUUAGUCAACAAAGUGCCGUAGACCGGGUGGCUUGUCAACAGCAGAGGACGAAGUGGGCGUGGGAUGCGUGUGCCUCCUGGUCAAGCCGAGUCAGAGUCCACGUGUGACCCUGACGUGGCCACGUACAGGCCAGGGGAGCUCGGCAGCUCGCCCAGCCUCUCUGAGACCCAACUUCCUCGUCUGCAAAGCGGAGGUGACAUCCCCACCUCAGGGGCUUUUCCGUGGACUAAGUGAGGUGGCACAAGUGGAAGCUUCAGCGCAGCGCCCAGCCCCUGCCGAGCACCCUUGGUUAGUACUGCCACGGUUAC
Lemur catta (Ring-tailed lemur) is the source of this 1151-nucleotide long non-coding RNA. RefSeq lists it as uncharacterized. NCBI's taxonomy places the organism in Eukaryota, Metazoa, Chordata, Mammalia, Primates, Lemuridae. The record is from RefSeq and is a predicted model, not a curated record. The transcript is spliced from 3 exons.